GAAAGCGCAUCCUUGACCGGAAAAAAGUUGAAGGAAUCCUAACGUAUGUCCUGAGAUGCGGCACCUUUCCUGAUUGGGACCAUAUUGAGGAGGCCAAGCUCAAGAAAGCUUUGGUAAACAAAUGUCGGGCCAGAGACGGUUUUAAGUAGGCCCUUGUACCUGUCAAGUUCAUUCUAUGGUAGGAUGUUUCCUUGGUAAACAUGUUAAAUAUUUUGGUCUAGGUUUGCGUAGUAUAUAUUGUAAAAAAUUGCCUUAUGAUGUAGCUUUUAGUACCACGUUAUUCUGUGAUAAUGCAUAUUGAGGUGUGCUGUGCCAAGCAAAUUUGGCACUGAUGCAACAUCACUAACAAGCUAGUGGCUAAUAUCCCUUCAAAGUGCAAAGUUUUUUCCAAAUAAAAAAAAUAAUGCAACUGGUAAUGACGCAGUACGUUGCUGCUUACAUAAUCAGGUAUAUUAGUAGCUUUUGUAACCAAUUUCAGAAUAUUUCAAUGAUCAUUUAUGUACCAAAUGUUAUAUUGUUAUCGCAGGAGGCUGUUCUAUUGUUUACAACAGUGUUUCUUAAUCAUAGGGCUGGGGCCCACUGUUUGGCUGCGAGUACCCCUUGGAAGCCGCCAAUAAAUAUCUGUUUCUUAGCUGUGGUCCGUCCAUAUGGGCAGCAAUGGUACUCGGUUGUCUUACACUUUAGUGUAAGAUGACUAAUUCAGUGUUUAUAUUUCAGUUGGCCCCAGACUCCUCUUGUGGAAAAGUUGGUCGUGCCCCAAGGUAAAAAUGUUAAGUAUCCCUGGUUUUCAAUGUGUGAUUAUUUUUUGUAUGUAGACUAGUUCCACACAGCACAGUUACAAUUUUAUAAAUGUAUUUCAGUUUUUACUUGGAAUAUUUCAAAAAUGGAAAUUUUGUCAUUUACUCACCCUCUUACUGAGAUGAAGUCAAGUGUUUUUUUAACUAAGGUACAUGGUUUGCUCAACAAGGAGUUAAAAAGCUACACCUGACUUUUUCACAAUAGCAAAGUGAGUACUCAAGGUCAAAUUCAUUUAUUUUUGUAUUUGUUUUAUUGUUUGUAUAUUGUUUUCUGUUUUAAGUAUUGUGAAUGUCAAUAUGUACAUUAUGUAUGUACUAAUUAACUACAUUUACAUUUUUGUAUUUAAUCUAUUUUUAUAUUAUAUUUUGUAUUUUUGUGUAGCCAAAUAAAGUGAUACACCUUUCAA
Long non-coding RNA from Nerophis ophidion (straightnose pipefish), 1204 nucleotides. RefSeq lists it as uncharacterized. The record is from RefSeq and is a predicted model, not a curated record. NCBI's taxonomy places the organism in Eukaryota, Metazoa, Chordata, Actinopteri, Syngnathiformes, Syngnathidae. The transcript has 2 exons.